Orcinus orca (killer whale) is the source of this 683-nucleotide long non-coding RNA. RefSeq lists it as uncharacterized. NCBI's taxonomy places the organism in Eukaryota, Metazoa, Chordata, Mammalia, Artiodactyla, Delphinidae. The record is from RefSeq and is a predicted model, not a curated record. The transcript has 3 exons.
CUUCAGCUAUUCUGGUGGAUCUGUAAUGGUAUCUAAUGUGCUUUCAAUCUUCUUUCCCUCAUGAUAGUAAGAAGCUGAUAUUUUAGAUGAUCCCCUUAUGAGUCCACUCCUGGAGGUCCACAACGGGGAACUGCUACACCCCCCAGUUCUGACGCGCUGGUGGAAAUCCCACCACCUUAUCCCUCCAGCCCUGUCCUACAUCCUCCACUACCAGAGAAAACCAGUCAUGCUUCCGAUGCCACUACACCUCUGGUUCUCUUGGGUAUGAUGAGCCUCUUUGGAGGAAUCCUUGGCCACCAGAUGUUAAUAUCACCAUGGUGUUUUGGAACCUGGACCCAAACUGCAUUCCCAGGAAUGCCUCCACUCUGUGCAUUUAUAAUGAAGACCAGACCCAAGAUGCCUUACAGGAUAGGGAUGGAAUGGACUAAAAGUUGGGCUAGAAUUGUUGGACUCUAUGGAAGCGAUGGGUAAAAGCCUCUUACUACACCAUCUCAUCUAAGCCAAGGGCAUAGAAUACUCCUGCACUUAACUAUUUUGAAUAUACUGAUGGCCCCUUGUACCCGUAUUGUGAUCAUAACUUGUCCCUUCCAUAGAUCUGGACAGCUGCUUCCUUGUUAAAUUCUUCUCUUCCCAGAUCUCUUGUUGCACCUUCAGGAUAUGUCUGCAUAUGUGGCGUUCCCCAA